Molecule: long non-coding RNA, 378 nt
Organism: Hippocampus comes (tiger tail seahorse)
Lineage: Eukaryota; Metazoa; Chordata; Actinopteri; Syngnathiformes; Syngnathidae
Exons: 2
Source: RefSeq, a predicted model, not a curated record
AGGGGGCUGGCCGAGUCGUCAUCGUUGCUGAUGACCGACGACGAGCCUGGCAACACGAGGGCAAAGAGGAGGCAAUGCUGUCAUCCAUUGGCGGCAGUGGCGAGUCUGGAAGGGAGCAGAACUCCAUUGUGAGUCAUGAAAAGUCACAUCAUAUCAGAUGUGCGUGUGUGUGUGUGUGUUUAAAUGUGUAAAAAGGUUAAACACACACAAAAAAAAUGUUUUGCAUGUUUAAAAUGGUUUAAAGGGUUGUUGAGAAAAACUUAAUUAGUAUUUAGCUAUGUAGCUAAAAUUAGCUGAGCACGUUUGAAAGUUGUUGGACAUGACACGGCAUCUUGAGAAAAAUAAAGAGAACCCAUUGAACACUUUUUUCUUUUUUUU